UCGCUGUUUUUUCCCCUCUCUUCUCCCGAUCUGUGUGUGUUUUUGGUGACAUCUGUGAGCUGAUAGUGUAUUUUUAGUUGUGAAUAAUGGAAUGAAAAAAUGGUGAGGUCUCCGUGUAUAAAGGUGUGUUCUAUUCGAAUCAGAGUGACGAUGAAGGAGUGGUGUUCGUCAAUACGGUCGUUGUGUGCUCUAUCAAGAAGAAAAAGAAAAGAUGGAAUCACUUGUUCCCUUCUCUAUGUGUGAAUGUGGUGUAUGUAUCUAGGUCCCCAUUGUAGUAGUGUGAAUUUGUUGUGUAGAAAAGAAUGGAGAGUGUUGGUUCUCUUGCCCCACUGGAACGGAAAAAAAUGCUUUUUAGUCUUUCGGUUCCCCCCUUUUCAGAAUGGAAGAAGAUCAUUAAACAAAAUGGGU
RNAcentral lists this long non-coding RNA (408 nucleotides) under Capsicum annuum. RNAcentral describes it as "long non-coding RNA (CANN_LNC006739)". The record is from RNAcentral. Lineage: Eukaryota; Viridiplantae; Streptophyta; Magnoliopsida; Solanales; Solanaceae.